GACGAACGCUGGCGGCGUGCUUAACACAUGCAAGUCGAACGGACAGACCCUGCUCUUGCGGCGUGCUCGAGUGGCGAACGGGUGUGUAACACGCGUGUAACCUGUCCUUGACUGUGUGAUAACUUCAGGAAACUGGGGCUAAUACCGGAUAGGAGCUCCUGCUGCACGGUGUUGGUUGGAAAGUGUCGGCGUUUGGGGCUCGACUCGCUGGUUAUCCGCUAGUUGGUGGGGUAGUGGCUUACGAAGGGUUUGACGGGUAGCCGGCAUGAGAGGUUGACCGGGCACAAUGGGACUGAGAGAGGGAGCAGACGCCUACGGGAGGCAGCGGGGGGGAGUAUUGCGCAAUGGGGGGGAGCGUGAUGCGGCGACGCCGCGUGCGGAAUAACGGGCUUCGGGUGGUAAACAGCUGUCGCAUGUAACGAAGCGUGAGUGACGGUAAUGGGUAAAGAAGCAACGGCUAACUACGUG
This 468-nucleotide ribosomal RNA is filed under the name uncultured bacterium. RNAcentral describes it as "partial 16S ribosomal RNA". It matches the Rfam family "Bacterial small subunit ribosomal RNA", at positions 28 to 507 of the family's 1533-position model. The record is from RNAcentral.